This 253-nucleotide ribosomal RNA is filed under the name uncultured bacterium. RNAcentral's name for it is "partial 16S ribosomal RNA". It matches the Rfam family "Bacterial small subunit ribosomal RNA", at positions 524 to 776 of the family's 1533-position model. The record is from RNAcentral.
UACAGAGGUCUCAAGCGUUGUUCGGAUUCAUUGGGCGUAAAGGGUGCGUAGGCGGCGCGGUAAGUCGGGUGUGAAAUCUCGGAGCUUAACUCCGAAACUGCAUUCGAUACUGCCGUGCUUGAGGACUGGAGAGGAGACUGGAAUUUACGGUGUAGCGGUGAAAUGCGUAGAUAUCUGGAGGAAUACCGGUGGCGAAGGCGGCAUCCUGGACCGAGAUUGACGCUGAUGAGCGAAAGCUAGGGGAGCAAACGGG